This is a non-coding RNA of Pangasius djambal, 67 nucleotides long. Lineage: Eukaryota; Metazoa; Chordata; Actinopteri; Siluriformes; Pangasiidae. The record is from the annotation of a GenBank genome assembly.
UCGCGGUUAGUGGUUAGGCCACAGCGCUCUCACUGCUGCGGCCCGGGUUCGAUUCCUGGCCAGGGAA